RNAcentral lists this ribosomal RNA (520 nucleotides) under uncultured Archaeospora. RNAcentral's name for it is "SSU rRNA". It matches the Rfam family "Eukaryotic small subunit ribosomal RNA", at positions 569 to 1092 of the family's 1831-position model. Lineage: Eukaryota; Fungi; Glomeromycota; Glomeromycetes; Archaeosporales; Archaeosporaceae. The record is from RNAcentral.
AGCAGCCGCGGUAAUUCCAGCUCCAAUAGCGUAUAUUAAAGUUGUUGCAGUUAAAAAGCUCGUAGUUGAAUUUUGGAUUCUUCCAAUUGGUCCAUCUUUUAGAUGAGUACUGGUUGUGUGGGGUCUAUCCGCCUGGUGAUACGUAAUGUCCUUUAUUGGAUGUUGCGGGUAGUCAGGACCUUUACCUUGAAAAAUUAGAGUGUUUAAAGCAGGCUUAUGCCGGAAUACAUUAGCAUGGAAUAAUAGAAUAGGACGAAGUUGUUUUAUUUUGUUGGUUUCUAGGACAACCGUAAUGAUUAAUAGGGAUAGUUGGGGGCAUUAGUAUUCAAUUGUCAGAGGUGAAAUUCUUGGAUUUAUUGAAGACUAACUACUGCGAAAGCAUUUGCCAAGGAUGUUUUCAUUAAUCAAGAACGAAAGUUAGGGGAUCGAAGACGAUCAGAUACCGUCGUAGUCUUAACCAUAAACUAUGCCGACUAGGGAUCGGGCGAUGUUGUUUCCAUGACUCGCUCGGCACCUUAUG